UCCAAGAACCGCCUUUUCCAGCUUCUGGUGGCCCCAGGCAUUCCUUGGCUUGUGGCUGUGUCCCUCCAAUCUCUGCUUCCAUCUUCUUCCCUGUGUGUCUCAGAUCUCCUUUUUCCUCUCUCUUAUAAGAACCCCUGUUGCUAGAUUUAGGGCCAACCUGGAUAAUCAGAAUAUCUCAUCUUGAGACCCUUAACUUCAUUACAUCUGCAAAGAUCCUUUUACAAAUAAGGUCACAUUUACAGAUUCCGAGUGGACCUAUCUUUUAGGGGGUCAACACUCAACACACUAUAGUAUAAAUAUUAGGAUUUCCCAUCAACACUAAGAUCACAGGCCACAUCACCCGCGUCUUCUCUGGGCCAGGCCUCUGCAGAGCACCCACAGACCUAAGUGCCCACAGCUGGGACAGGAGGCCAGACCACAGCUUAGAUCAACUCUCCGGAACUCAUGGGGAAAGCGGUCCUGGAGAUCAGGUGACCCAACCCCGUCACUAGCCUGGCAGGGGAAAGGGAGGCCCCCAGAGGAGGCCUUCCCGGGGUAGGCAGGCUCUUCCCUGAGAUCUCCCUCCUGCUGCCUCUCAGCAGGCCUUGAGAGGGCAUCUCGUGUGUGCCUGGGCAGUGCUCGCUGCUGGGACAAUUGUUACAUAAAGCCCCCCCUCUCCCUUGUGGUCUCUCCCGGCAGCCACAGGCGUCAUCCUGCUCCUGCUCCUGCUCUCGGGGCUGCCCAGACUUCGAUAAGGGGAUGCAGAGGGUUCUCCCAUUGCCCGACAGCCCAGAGACACACACACUAGCAGGAGGCAGUGGACCCUGAAGCUAAAGUCCUGGGUUCGAGCCCUGACUACCAGGCCUGUCAUUUCAGGCCACUUCAUUGAGGUAAAAUGGCAGCAGUAAGCCUAAUCAGGUUGUGAAGCACUUGCGGCAGGGAAGUGGAAACGUUUUGCAACCUGCAAGGGGCCCUGCAGGAGGCACUCAUAGAGAUGCCGGGCCACUCCUCCCACCCGCAUGGCCUUGGGGCUGGGACUGAUCUGUCUCCUGCAUUAGAUGGCACAAACUGUUGCCCCUCAUGCUGGGAAAAGCAAGGACUGAGGAGAAAGCGAGGGCUGCGGGGGAGGACGGCGGGGGGAGGCCCGUGCAAAGCUCAGCCCCCCUCGCACAUUUCUAAGAACACAGUGAUGAGCCAGAAAAGAGAAAGACCAUGUCUUUCACCAAAGGGGGGAGGGGACAACCCAGUGACCAAUUUCGGUGAUUAGCUGCAAGAAGAGGGCCCUUUAUUCCAGGCGUGUGUAUGCCUUUUAAUUUCCUCUUGUGGGUUCCUGAGGGGGCCCAGUAACCGUGCAAUUGGUAUUCCUCGCCAGCCUCGAAGGAUGUGGACACUCUCUCGGAGAUGGCUCCAGGUGGUACGGAGUGCCACCUGCACUCCCAGCUUCCCGAUUAGCUGCUCUGCACCAACCUCCUCGGGGCAGGGGAGGGGAGGCAGCGGACCGGACCGGGUCUGCCCCCGGUUCAGAUGGGUCUUCUCCAGGCUGGAGGCAGCAGCAGCCAGGUCCGAGUUGACCUUGGCACCUCCCCUGCUUUGUGCGAGACAAAAUAAAAAAUGUACAAUUGGUGACAAAGGGACAUGACCCCCUUAAGCAAUUGUAGGCCCAGAAGUUACAAAGCAGGCCAAUUAGGGGGCGGUGAUUUGCAUUACAAGAAGACCCUUUGCUUCAUAAAAGGAGUUCUCAGUGGGCUGCAAUAGGUUGCGCCCCAGGGGGGUUAAAGAUUCAAUUUACAGAACAGUGAUUCGCCCACAACUCUCCCACAGCACGCCCCUUUGUGUAAACGAGUGCAUCUGUACUGACUUUUGACCAGCCUCCCAGUCCUGAGAUUUGUUGUUUCGCAAACGACACAGGCAGUCCUUACACUAGCUCACACGCACACACGCCUGCUUUGCCGUGCCCUGCCAAUUUCUCAAAAACAGAAGAUGCGGCUCCUCCCCAGGCUGGCACCUGGCUUUGAAGAUGUUGGAGAUGCGGCUGAUGGCCUGUGUUCCUGUAAAGAAGGGCAUCUCAAAGUCACCUGCCGCACCAUCUAAGCGCUCAGAUGGCCAGGAACCUGCUCGGUGGAACAGCCCAGUGCAGAGGGGGCAGAAGCCCAAAGUUAGUUUCAUUUGGCUGAAGUCAAGAUGUCAACAAGCUGGCUCCUUCUGGAGGCUCUGAGGGGAGAAUCCAUUUCCUUGGCCUUUUCCAGCUUCUGGUGGCUGCCUGCAUUCCUUGGCUCGUGGCCCCAUCCUCCAUCUUCAAAGUGCAUCACUCCAACCUCUGCUUCUGACAUCACGUGGCCUUCUCCUCUUCUGUCUGUGUCAAAUCUCCCUCAGCUUCCCUCUUAUAAGGACACUUGUGAUGGCAUUUAGGGCCCAUCCAGAAAAUUCAGGCUAAUCUCUCCUUCUCAAGAUCCUUUAUUUAAUCACACCUGCAAAGUCCCCUCUGCCGUAUAACAUUCACUGGUUGCAGGGAUUGGGACAUGGACAUCUUUGGGGGCCAGUAUUCAGCCUCUGACACGAGGUUCGGGUCUUUGGGCAGCUAAGUUGCCUCACCUCUCUGAACUUUAGAAUUCUCAUUUGUACAAAAGGGAUGAGGCUCCUGUCCUGCUGACCUCUGGGCUUAAUGAGAGGUUCCAGAGAGGUGGUAGAGGUCAUGGCUUUUUGUAAAAUGUUAAAUGAAGACCGGUAUAAGUACUGAGGUUCGUUCUUGUUGCCUUUUCUGUGAAGCUGAGACCCCUCAGUUCAGUCACACACAGCCCAGAAACUCUGCCUCCACAGCCUUCUCCAGGUGUGUCUUGAUAGAUGCUCUCCAAGUUGAACUUUAGGCAGACUGGCUCCUCCCACCCUGUCACAAUGAGUGACAGGGAGAGUGGAAGGUCCUUCGGUGGGUGGCAGCCAUUUUGGCUUUGAUCCCAGGCACUGUCGAGUGAUCAUCUCAGUUGGCCAAAGUUUCCCUUCCCACUCUGCUGUGUGGUGGUUCCAGUGAGGCCCACAUGUUUAUACAUCAUAAGGAUAAAGCCCUAAGCACAGUGGUUGGCACAGAGGAAAUGGCACACAAUCAUUCUUCUCUGAGAAGCAGUUAAAGCAGCCUGUGCUCGUCACCCCUUUGGUACUUCUGGAACCAUCCUUUACUUCUUCCAUAAGAUCACGACCAACAGCCACAGUGGCAAGGCAUGAGUACUUCUUGGCGUUGGUGCUAUCCUGGCCCUCUGCCAGUUGCUGUCCACGGUCACUUUGGUGGAUCAGGCCUUACUGUCAGUCUCCGCCGACCAGCCUGACUGGGGGCAGGUCACAGUUUGUCCAGCAGCGGAUAGGAGGUAGGCAACGGCUGGCGAAGGCUGUAUGGAGACAUUGGCAAAACACCCUGGGCGCAUGGCUUCAGCUGGCUCCUGGGGCUUGGCAGACACCGUGCAGAUUAGCAGCAAGCUUUCCAAGGGAAACAGUUGUCUCUACCCAAACCCAGGGGAGUUGCAUCUGCUCCCACCUUGGGGGGGCUCAGCUAAGCCUGUGAGAAACUGAGAACAGGAAGACUCUUUCUGAACAUGGCCCUCCGACUCCUUCUUCAUGCCAGCGUGGAGACGGGAUCAGGCCGGGGCAGGGGGGGUGGGGGGGAAGGCAGGGGAGGGGAGGAGGAUUGGUAAGGAGAACUUGGCCAUUAUUCCACAAGACAGCCAGGCUGGCAGCUUUCUCUGUGGGUGCUGCCCGUCCCAGUCCUGGUCUCUGACCUUUUCCUGAGGGGCCCUGUCAUCUACAAAGCACAGCACCAUUUCCCAGGGCCUUCUCCAGCCAUCUUCAUCACUGCGGUGCCCUACAGACCUGAAGAAAGGCAGGACAGUGACACUUUUUCCAUUUUACAGGUCGGGAGACGAGCCAGGGGGAAUUAACCUGCCCAGAUCACACACACGCACAUGGAACUGGCAGCAGACUUCCCAUGCCCAAACCCAGUCUUUGGAUUGUGGUCUAGCACUGUCUGUCUGAAUGCAGGAGGCCACACAGCACUGUUGGCUGAAACGUUAUCAGCUUAUUCUCCUUGUGCAUUCUGCAUGCGAUUCCACGCAUACUCAUUUCCACUCUAGAGCAGCUCUGUCGUUUGGAAGGCCCGCUCCACGUGAUGUGCCCAAUUACUUUGAUGUCUGAAUUAGUCAUUCUGUUUCUCUAACAGUUUCGCCGUGGAUUUUUCCAGAGACAACACGAUGUGAUAUCACAACAGAUUGAAUGCAGACGCAGUUACAAGAAUCCAGCUGUCUUGUAUUAAGCCUGACAUUAAAGAGAUUUACAAAAACGUAAAA
Equus caballus (horse) is the source of this 4307-nucleotide non-coding RNA. The record is from RefSeq and is a predicted model, not a curated record. Lineage: Eukaryota; Metazoa; Chordata; Mammalia; Perissodactyla; Equidae.